Molecule: ribosomal RNA, 770 nt
Filed under: uncultured cyanobacterium
Lineage: Bacteria; Bacillati; Cyanobacteriota
Description: bacterial SSU rRNA
Rfam family: Bacterial small subunit ribosomal RNA
Source: RNAcentral
UGGCGGUAUGCUUAACACAUGCAAGUCGAACGGUCUUUUCGGAGAUAGUGGCGGACGGGUGAGUAACGCGUAAGAAUCUACCUUCAGGUUGGGGACAACCACUGGAAACGGUGGCUAAUACCGAAUGUGCCGAGAGGUGAAAGGCUUGCUGCCUGAAGAAGAGCUUGCGUCUGAUUAGCUAGUUGGUGGGGUAAGAGCCUACCAAGGCGACGAUCAGUAGCUGGUCUGAGAGGAUGAUCAGCCACACUGGGACUGAGACACGGCCCAGACUCCUACGGGAGGCAGCAGUGGGGAAUUUUCCGCAAUGGGCGAAAGCCUGACGGACCAAUACCGCGUGAGGGAGGAAGGCUCUUGGGUUGUAAACCUCUUUUCUCAGGGAAGAAGAAAGUGACGGUACCUGAGGAAUAAGCAUCGGCUAACUCCGUGCCAGCAGCCGCGGUAAUACGGAGGAUGCAAGCGUUAUCCGGAAUGAUUGGGCGUAAAGGGUCCGCAGGUGGCAUUGUAAGUCUGCUGUUAAAGAGUUUGGCUCAACCAAAUAAAAGCAGUGGAAACUACAAAACUAGAGUAUGGUCGGGGCAGAGGGAAUUCCUGGUGUAGCGGUGAAAUGCGUAGAUAUCAGGAAGAACAUCGGUGGCGAAGGCGCUCUGCUAGGCCAAGACUGACACUGAGGGACGAAAGCUAGGGGAGCGAAUGGGAUUAGAUACCCCAGUAGUCCUAGCCGUAAACGAUGGAUACUAGGCGUAGCUCGUAUCGACCCGAGCUGGGCCGUA